UAAUCAGCUCAGGAUGUGAUCAACAGAGCAAGUGGCCAAAAUUAGUUUCUUCAGCAGGGCUCUCCCUGAGAGAUAAGGUGAGAAGCUCGGUCAUCCGGGAGGGGCUCAGAGUCGAGCCGCUUCUCCUCCACAUCGAGAGGAGCCAGAUGAGGUGGCUUGGGCAUCUGAUUCGGAUGCCUCCUGAACGCCUCCCUGGUGAGGUGUUCCGGGCAUGUCC
This is a long non-coding RNA of Hippocampus zosterae (dwarf seahorse), 217 nucleotides long. RefSeq lists it as uncharacterized. The record is from RefSeq and is a predicted model, not a curated record. Lineage: Eukaryota; Metazoa; Chordata; Actinopteri; Syngnathiformes; Syngnathidae. The transcript has 2 exons.